Molecule: small nuclear RNA, 23 nt
Filed under: Arabidopsis thaliana (thale cress)
Lineage: Eukaryota; Viridiplantae; Streptophyta; Magnoliopsida; Brassicales; Brassicaceae
Description: snRNA_18729
Source: RNAcentral
UGGAUGGUUGAACUUGAAAAUGU